GAUGAACGCUGGCGGCGUGCCUAAUACAUGCAAGUCGAGCGAACGGACGAGAAGCUUGCUUCUCUGAUGUUAGCGGCGGACGGGUGAGUAACACGUGGAUAACCUACCUAUAAGACUGGGAUAACUUCGGGAAACCGUAGCUAAUACCGGAUAAUAUUUUGAACCGCAUGGUUCAAAAAUGAAAGACGGUCUUGCUGUCACUUAUAGAUGGAUCCGCGCUGCAUUAGCUAGUUGGUAAGGUAACGGCUUACCAAGGCAACGAUGCAUAGCCGACCUGAGAGGGUGAUCGGCCACACUGGAACUGAGACACGGUCCAGACUCCUACGGGAGGCAGCAGUAGGGAAUCUUCCGCAAUGGGCGAAAGCCUGACGGAGCAACGCCGCGUGAUUGAUGAAGGUCUUCGGAUCGUAAAACUCUGUUAUUAGGGAAGAACAUAUGUGUAAGUAACUGUGCACAUCUUGACGGUACCUAAUCAGAAAGCCACGGCUAACUACGUG
RNAcentral lists this ribosomal RNA (497 nucleotides) under uncultured bacterium. Its description in RNAcentral is "partial 16S ribosomal RNA". It matches the Rfam family "Bacterial small subunit ribosomal RNA", at positions 28 to 507 of the family's 1533-position model. The record is from RNAcentral.